AGUGAACGCUGGCGGUAGGCCUAACACAUGCAAGUCGAACGGCAGCACAGUAAUUGGUGGCUGUUGCGGGUGUCGCGUGGCGGACGGUGGAGUAAGGCAUCGGAUUCUUCUGGUUCGUGUGUGCUAACGUAGGGUAAGUUCUUCUAGUGCAGGAUACAUCGUACUUGUAAAAGCACGCGUUCGUCUAGCUUGUUGGUGUGGUAUCAGCUGAUCUCGGAGUAGCUAGUUGGCGGGGUAAAGUCGCAACACAGCGACGAUCCGUAGCUGGUAUGAGAGGAUGAUCAGCCACACUGGCACUGAGACACGGUCCAGACUCCUACGGGAGGCAGCAGUGGGGAAUCUUGGACAAUGGACGAAAGCCUGAUCCAGCGAUACCGCGUGAGUGAAGACGGACCUCGGGUUGGAAAGCCCUGUUGUUGGGAAAGAAAAGCAGCAGGUUAAUCCCGCGCUGUAAUGACGGUACCCAAAGAAUAAGCCCCGGCUAACUUCGUG
This 492-nucleotide ribosomal RNA is filed under the name uncultured bacterium. Its description in RNAcentral is "partial 16S ribosomal RNA". It matches the Rfam family "Bacterial small subunit ribosomal RNA", at positions 29 to 507 of the family's 1533-position model. The record is from RNAcentral.